CCGUUUACAAAGGUGAUGAUUCUUACGGCGUACGCCGAGGACGAAAGUAUCAUGAAUGCCGCCAAAGGCGGAGCUCGCGGCUACCUGCUGAAGGGAGCGGAUUUCGCGACGUUGUUGCAAGCGAUCAAG
This 129-nucleotide unclassified non-coding RNA is filed under the name plant metagenome. RNAcentral describes it as "partial contains 5.8S ribosomal RNA, internal transcribed spacer 2, and large subunit ribosomal RNA". The record is from RNAcentral.